Molecule: ribosomal RNA, 301 nt
Filed under: uncultured bacterium
Lineage: Bacteria
Description: partial 16S ribosomal RNA
Rfam family: Bacterial small subunit ribosomal RNA
Source: RNAcentral
CAGUCGCCACGGGAAUACGGAGGGUGCAAGCGUUAAUCGGAAUUACUGGGCGUAAAGCGCACGCAGGCGGUUUGUUAAGUCAGAUGUGAAAUCCCCGGGCUCAACCUGGGAACUGCAUUUGAAACUGGCAAGCUAGAGUCUCGUAGAGGGGGGUAGAAUUCCAGGUGUAGCGGUGAAAUGCGUAGAGAUCUGGAGGAAUACCGGUGGCGAAGGCGGCCCCCUGGACAAAGACUGACGCUCAGGUGCGAAAGCGUGGGGAGCAAACAGGAUUAGAUACCCCAGUAGUCCCUGUCUCUUAUAA